AGAGUUUGAUCCUGGCUCAGGACGAACGCUGGCGGCGCGCCUAACACAUGCAAGUCGAACGAGCGAGAGAGAGCUUGCUUUCUCGAGCGAGUGGCGAACGGGUGAGUAACGCGUGAGGAACCUGCCUCAAAGAGGGGGACAACAGUUGGAAACGACUGCUAAUACCGCAUAAGCCCACGGUGCCGCAUGGCACAGAGGGAAAAGGAGCAAUCCGCUUUGAGAUGGCCUCGCGUCCGAUUAGCUAGUUGGUGAGGUAACGGCCCACCAAGGCGACGAUCGGUAGCCGGACUGAGAGGUUGAACGGCCACAUUGGGACUGAGACACGGCCCAGACUCCUACGGGAGGCAGCAGUGGGGAAUAUUGCACAAUGGGGGGAACCCUGAUGCAGCGACGCCGCGUGGAGGAAGAAGGUCUUCGGAUUGUAAACUCCUGUUGUUGGGGAAGAUAAUGACGGUACCCAACAAGGAAGUGACGGCUAACUACGUGCCAGCAGCCGCGGUAAAACGUAGGUCACAAGCGUUGUCCGGAAUUACUGGGUGUAAAGGGAGCGCAGGCGGGAAGACAAGUUGGAAGAGAAAUCUAUGGGCUCAACCCAUAAACUGCUUUCAAAACUGUUUUUCUUGAGUAGUGCAGAGGUAGGCGGAAUUCCCGGUGUAGCGGUGGAAUGCGUAGAUAUCGGGAGGAACACCAGUGGCGAAGGCGGCCUACUGGGCACCAACUGACGCUGAGGCUCGAAAGUGUGGGUAGCAAACAGGAUUAGAUACCCUGGUAGUCCACACCGUAAACGAUGAUUACUAGGUGUUGGAGGAUUGACCCCUUCAGUGCCGCAGUUAACACAAUAAGUAAUCCACCUGGGGAGUACGACCGCAAGGUUGAAACUCAAAGGAAUUGACGGGGGCCCGCACAAGCAGUGGAGUAUGUGGUUUAAUUCGACGCAACGCGAAGAACCUUACCAAGUCUUGACAUCCCUUGACAGGCAUAGAAAUAUGUUUUCUCUUCGGAGCAAGGAGACAGGUGGUGCAUGGUUGUCGUCAGCUCGUGUCGUGAGAUGUUGGGUUAAGUCCCGCAACGAGCGCAACCCUUAUGGUCAGUUACUACGCAAGAGGACUCUGGCCAGACUGCCGUUGACAAAACGGAGGAAGGUGGGGAUGACGUCAAAUCAUCAUGCCCUUUAUGACUUGGGCUACACACGUACUACAAUGGCGUUAAACAAAGAGAAGCGAGACCGCGAGGUGUAGCAAAACUCAGAAACAACGUCCCAGUUCGGACUGCAGGCUGCAACUCGCCUGCACGAAGUCGGAAUUGCUAGUAAUCGUGGAUCAGCAUGCCACGGUGAAUACGUUCCCGGGCCUUGUACACACCGCCCGUCACACCAUGAGAGCCGGGGGGACCCGAAGUCGGUAGUCU
Molecule: ribosomal RNA, 1407 nt
Filed under: metagenome
Description: bacterial SSU rRNA
Rfam family: Bacterial small subunit ribosomal RNA
Source: RNAcentral